Molecule: ribosomal RNA, 490 nt
Filed under: uncultured bacterium
Lineage: Bacteria
Description: partial 16S ribosomal RNA
Rfam family: Bacterial small subunit ribosomal RNA
Source: RNAcentral
GAUGAACGCUAGCGGCAGGCCUAAUACAUGCAAGUCGAACGGGAUCCAGAUCAAAGCUUGCUUUGGUCUGGUGAGAGUGGCGCACGGGUGCGUAACGCGUGAGCAACCUACCCUUGUCAGGGGGAUAGCCCGGCGAAAGUCGGAUUAAUACCGCAUGACAUCAUUGGGAGGCAUCUUUCGAUGAUCGACGAUUUAUCAGACAAGGAUGGGAUCGCGUGACAUUAGCUAGUUGGUAAGGUAACGGCAUACCAAGGCUGCGAUGUCUAGGGGCUAUGAGAGGAGGAUCCCCCACACUGGUACUGCGACACGGACCAGACUCCUACGGGAGGCAGCAGUAAGGAAUACUAGUCAAUGGACGGAAGUCUGAACCAGCCAUGCCGCGUGCAGGAAGACGGCCCUAUGGGUUGUAAUCUGCUUUUAUACGGGAACAACCGUCGGUACGUGUACCGGUCUGAGUGUACCGUAAGAAUAAGGAUCGGCUAACUCCGUG